AUUGAACGCUGGCGGCAUGCCUUACACAUGCAAGUCGAACGGCAGCACGGGUGCUUGCACCUGGUGGCGAGUGGCGAACGGGUGAGUAAUACAUCGGAACAUGUCCUGUAGUGGGGGAUAGCCCGGCGAAAGCCGGAUUAAUACCGCAUACGAUCUACGGAUGAAAGCGGGGGACCUUCGGGCCUCGCGCUAUAGGGUUGGCCGAUGGCUGAUUAGCUAGUUGGUGGGGUAAAGGCCUACCAAGGCGACGAUCAGUAGCUGGUCUGAGAGGACGACCAGCCACACUGGGACUGAGACACGGCCCAGUCUCCUACGGGAGGCAGCAGUGGGGAAUUUUGGACAAAGGGCGAAAGCCUGAUCCAGCAAUGCCGCGUGUGUGAAGAAGGCCUUCGGGUUGUAAAGCACUUUUGUCCGGAAAGAAAUCCUUGGCCCUAAUACGGUCGGGGGAUGACGGUACCGGAAGAAUAAGCACCGGCUAACUACGUG
Molecule: ribosomal RNA, 486 nt
Filed under: uncultured bacterium
Lineage: Bacteria
Description: partial 16S ribosomal RNA
Rfam family: Bacterial small subunit ribosomal RNA
Source: RNAcentral